Molecule: long non-coding RNA, 443 nt
Organism: Culex pipiens pallens (northern house mosquito)
Lineage: Eukaryota; Metazoa; Arthropoda; Insecta; Diptera; Culicidae
Exons: 3
Source: RefSeq, a predicted model, not a curated record
GCUAGUCUGUUGGGGGUUAUUCUUUGUGAUUUGGGGAAAAAUGGAUAGAAUUUUUAAAUUUUGGAAAAUUAUAAUUUUCAUUGUUUUAAACUUAUUUUUAGUAAAAGCACAAUUUCCAUUUGAACGUCAUGAAGUUCUAGACAAUGUCAAAUACAGUUAUGGAAUUUUUGCUCCAGUUGGGUGGACAGUAGGUGCUUACACGUGGUACAUUUAUUCCUUGGGACUGAUUCUUGGAGCAAUUGUCCUGCUCUACUUCAGCAAAGGAUGGACUGGUGCACUAAGAACAGACAACUCAAACUACAUUAAAAGAUCAAUCGAAGGAAAUCACGAGUUCAAAGGAUUUGAAGAAACAAUUACAAACAAUGAAGACUACAAGCAGUUUUGGGCAGACAAAAUCAAGACGAUUGCGGAAAAGUUAAAGAAAAUUAAAUGAGAUUUUUUUG